UAGAGUUUGAUCCUGGCUCAGGACGAACGCUGGCGGCGUGCUUAACACAUGCAAGUCGAACGAUGACGGCCGUGCUUGCACGGUCUGAUUAGUGGCGAACGGGUGAGUAACACGUGAGUAACCUGCCCUCCACUCUGGGAUAACCCCGAGAAAUCGGAGCUAAUACCGGAUAGGAGCCUUCACCGCAUGGUGGGGGCUGGAAAGUUUUUCGGUGGGGGAUGGACUCGCGGCCUAUCAGUUUGUUGGUGAGGUGAUGGCUCACCAAGGCGAUGACGGGUAGCCGGCCUGAGAGGGCGACCGGCCACACUGGGACUGAGACACGGCCCAGACUCCUACGGGAGGCAGCAGUGGGGAAUAUUGCACAAUGGGCGAAAGCCUGAUGCAGCGACGCCGCGUGGGGGAUGACGGCCUUCGGGUUGUAAACCUCUUUCAGCAGGGAAGAAGCGAAAGUGACGGUACCUGCAGAAGAAGCGCCGGCUAACUACGUGCCAGCAGCCGCGGUAAUACGUAGGGCGCAAGCGUUGUCCGGAAUUAUUGGGCAUAAAGAGCUUGUAGGUGGCUUGUCGCGUCUGCCGUGAAAACCCGAGGCUCAACCUCGGGCGUGCGGUGGGUACGGGCAGGCUAGAGUGUGGUAGGGGAGACUGGAACUCCUGGUGUAGCGGUGAAAUGCGCAGAUAUCAGGAAGAACACCGAUGGCGAAGGCAGGUCUCUG
This 712-nucleotide ribosomal RNA is filed under the name uncultured Brachybacterium sp. Its description in RNAcentral is "bacterial SSU rRNA". It matches the Rfam family "Bacterial small subunit ribosomal RNA", at positions 1 to 731 of the family's 1533-position model. Lineage: Bacteria; Bacillati; Actinomycetota; Actinomycetes; Micrococcales; Dermabacteraceae. The record is from RNAcentral.